This 560-nucleotide transfer RNA is filed under the name Oscillatoriales cyanobacterium Alignment_Isolate6. Its description in RNAcentral is "partial 16S-23S ribosomal RNA intergenic spacer". The stretch from base 277 to 349 matches the Rfam family "tRNA". The record is from RNAcentral. Lineage: Bacteria; Bacillati; Cyanobacteriota; Cyanophyceae; Oscillatoriales.
UUUUAGGGAGACCAUCUGAAAAACUACCGAACCUAAACAAGAAGUAGCAAUCAGUAUCCCUGGUCGUUCGAGAAAUAGAUGUCAAAGCUUUCAAACUAUUAACUGGUUCGGGAAAUGGGCUAUUAGCUCAGUUGGUUAGAGCGCACCCCUGAUAAGGGUGAGGUCCCUGGUUCAAAUCCAGGAUGGCCCACCUGGAAAAGAGUGAUAAAUUUGAAGUAAUGAGUCAGGAAUAAAAAUUCAGGAUUCAUGGGUUCAAAAAUGACGCACUUGCUUAGUGGGGGUAUAGCUCAGUUGGUAGAGCGCCUGCCUUGCACGCAGGAAGUCAGCGGUUCGAGUCCGCUUACCUCCACUCUCAUUAUAGAUAACCGCUCGACUAAGCAACCAGAACAAAAAAAGAGAAGAGAAAUCAGCACCCAGACUCUUACAAGAAAGUCGGAAUGCUGGAGUCUAGAACUCUAGUCAGAACCUUGAAAACUGCAUAGAAAUUAAGUCAUCAUCAAGCUUAGUAAGUAAUCCGAUGCGUCGGAAAAUCUGAGAAGCAGACCACCAUCAAAGAAGAA